This 1308-nucleotide long non-coding RNA is filed under the name Monodelphis domestica (gray short-tailed opossum). Its description in RNAcentral is "lncRNA (ENSMODG00000045275.1)". Lineage: Eukaryota; Metazoa; Chordata; Mammalia; Didelphimorphia; Didelphidae. The record is from RNAcentral.
UAAGCUGUAAUCCUGACCUUGAACUGUUUACCUGGCUCCAUACCUCAGGCUCUGCCCUGCCCUCCAGCUCCUGGGCAUUGCCCACAGCAAGAAUGCACAUGAGCUACGUGUCCCAUAGACGAAUCCUAGGAUGUUAAAUGGCAUGGACUACCACAGUUUCCAAAGACUUAAAGUGCAGCAUCACCCAGAGGACAAUGGAAGGGCACAUGGUGGGUUUGAGUAGGACAAAAAUCCAUUAUACAAAAUCUGUAGAAAAAAAAUGAUAGAAAAGAUUUCAUCAGAAUGAUAUGUGCUUGGAAAUAAGAUUGGAUGUGUUCCUUAUCAAGAGUAAGAAAUGCUUUGAUGGUGUUAUCUGUAUAGCAUUUGAUGUCAAAGAACAGGAAAAUAGCAAGUGCAGAACACAGCGAGACAUUAACAUCAGAAAAACAAGUUUGUGAGUGAAUAAAGAGAGUUCAUACAGCUUUCAAGUAAUUUACAGAGUAACUGAUGCACAGCUUUAUGCCACCUCCUCUUCAGCCUCCUCCUCAAAUUCUCCCUCCUCCUCACCAGUGGCAUCCUGAUACUGCUGAUAACCAGAAACCAAAUUAUUCAUGUUACUUUCUGCUUCAGUGAAUUCCAUUUCAUCCAUGCCCUCUCCAGUAUCCAGGGUAAGAAAGCCUUUCUGCAAAACAUGGUUGUAAACUGCUCAGAAAUGCACUUAAAGACCUCUUGGAUGGCAAUACUAUUACCAAUGAAGGUGGCAGACAUUUUCAGACCCCAGGGUGGGAUGUCACAAACAGCUGUUUUCACAUUGUUGGGGAUCCAUUAAACAAAGUAACUGCUGUUCUUGUUUUGAACAUUGAGCAUUUGCUCAUCUACCUCCUUCAUGGACAUAUGGCCUCUGAACAUGGCUGCUACUGUAAGAUAGCACCCAUGCUGAGGGUCACAAGCAGCCAUCAUCUUCUUUGCAUCAAACAUCUGCUGGGUGAGCUCUGGCACAGUUAAAGCACAGUACUGCUGGCUACCACAGCUAGUCAGUGGAGCAAAGCCAGGCAUAAAGAAGUGCAGACGGGGAAAGGGGACCAUGUUCACAGCCAGCUUAUGCAAGUCAGCUUUAAACUGCCCUGGGAAACAUAAAGAGAACAUCUAAGUAGCUCAAUGGAUUGAGACCCAAGCCUAGAGGUGGAAGGUUCUGUGUUCAAAUCUAGCCUCAGACAUUUUCUAGCUAUAUGACCCUGGGCAAGUUACUUAACCCCCAUUGCUUGGCCCUUACUGCUCAUCUGUUGUAGAACCAAUAAACAAUAUUGAUUCUAGAAUGAAAAGUAAGAA